AACGAACGCUGGCGGUAUGCCUAACACAUGCAAGUCGAACGAGACCUUCGGGUCUAGUGGCGCACGGGUGCGUAACGCGUGGGAACCUGCCCUUAGGUUCGGAAUAACUCCCCGAAAGGGGUGCUAAUACCGGAUAAUGUCUUCGGACCAAAGAUUUAUCGCCUUUGGAUGGGCCCGCGUUGGAUUAGCUAGUUGGUGGGGUAAAAGCCUACCAAGGCGACGAUCCAUAGCUGGUCUGAGAGGAUGAUCAGCCACACUGGGACUGAGACACGGCCCAGACUCCUACGGGAGGCAGCAGUGGGGAAUAUUGGACAAUGGGCGAAAGCCUGAUCCAGCAAUGCCGCGUGAGUGAUGAAGGCCUUAGGGUUGUAAAGCUCUUUUACCCGGGAUGAUAAUGACAGUACCGGGAGAAUAAGCUCCGGCUAACUCCGUG
Molecule: ribosomal RNA, 433 nt
Filed under: uncultured bacterium
Lineage: Bacteria
Description: partial 16S ribosomal RNA
Rfam family: Bacterial small subunit ribosomal RNA
Source: RNAcentral